Ochotona princeps (American pika) is the source of this 108-nucleotide ribosomal RNA. Lineage: Eukaryota; Metazoa; Chordata; Mammalia; Lagomorpha; Ochotonidae. The record is from Ensembl.
GUCUAUGGCCAUACCACCCUGAAUGUGCCCGAUCUUGUCUGAAGUUGGGAGCAGGCCAGGCUGGUCUAGGGUAGAGUACUCGCAGCAAUACCCAAGAGGCAGUGGGGU